CAAACUGCAGGAGGAGAUAGAUACUGUGUUCCCCAACAAGGUAACCCCCACACCAUGACCAAACCGCAGGAGGAGAUAGAUACUGUGUUCCCCAACAAGGUAACCCCCACACCAUGACUAAACUGCAGGAGGAGAUAGAUACUGUGUUCCCCAACAAGGUAACCCCACACCAUGACUAAACUGCAGGAGGAGAUAGAUACUGUGUUCCCCAACAAGAUAACCCCCACACCAUGACCAAACUGCAGGAGGAGAUAGAUACUGUGUUCCCCAACAAGAUAACCCCCACACCAUGACCAAACUGCAGGAGGAGAUAGAUACUGUGUUCCCCAACAAGAUAACCCCCACACCAUGACCAAACUGCAGGAGGAGAUAGAUACUGUGUUCCCCAACAAGGUAACCCCCACACCAUGACCAAACUGCAGGAGGAGAUAGAUACUGUGUUCCCCAACAAGGUAACCCCCACACCGUGACCAAACUGCAG
This 481-nucleotide long non-coding RNA is filed under the name Salmo salar (Atlantic salmon). Its description in RNAcentral is "lncRNA (ENSSSAG00000121457.1)". The record is from RNAcentral. Lineage: Eukaryota; Metazoa; Chordata; Actinopteri; Salmoniformes; Salmonidae.